This is a long non-coding RNA of Helianthus annuus (common sunflower), 1287 nucleotides long. RefSeq lists it as uncharacterized. NCBI's taxonomy places the organism in Eukaryota, Viridiplantae, Streptophyta, Magnoliopsida, Asterales, Asteraceae. The record is from RefSeq and is a predicted model, not a curated record. The transcript is spliced from 6 exons.
AGGGAUUGAAUGUGAAUUAAAUGGUGGGAGCAAAGUGAAAAUGCAGUGUCUUUCCCUUUUGAAUGGGUUUUGCUUUUAAAAACACAAGGAAUGGAAGGACUGUACAUUCCAUUUCUCAUUAUCUCUCUCUAUCAAAUCCAAUUCCAUCGCUGUCAUCACUGCCGAUGACUCUCAUAGUGGAAAAGAAAUCAAGCGAAGAGAAAUCGAGACCAGAGAGAGUGUAGCGGAGGGAAGAAGCGACACUAAAAAGCCACCCAGGGCUUCGAUGGCCAUUAUUAAUAAAUUUCAAUGGCUUUGAUUUUGGUCUGUUUCUUUCUUCUUGAAUUGCAACCAUAGGAAGACAAAUCGCAGGAGAAGAAUAGUUUGAUGUCAUUUGGUGGUUGCAUAUCAGGACUACUCUAAGUUGUGAUUUUCUUGUGAUAUAGUGUGGGCAAGGAAGUACCAAUGAUGAGCUAAGGCCUACAUGUGUAUCGUCGUUGCUGGGCAUCCGCAUAGAUGGCGUUGAUGCUGGUCUUUGGCAUACAAUUUGCAUAUCAAGCGAUGGUGCUGUGUAUGCCUUCGGUGGGAAUCACUUUGGACAAUUGGGUACUAGAACCGAUCAUGUUGAGGUCCUUAAUUCACUCGUGUUUUCUUCUUCUUAUUAUUCUUAAUCAUCUGCACCAAAAGCCCGAUCCGUUGCUCGAACGCUCUCUACGUUCAUAGUUUUCUUUCUUCCUCUAUUGCCAUGGCCAGCCCCCUUAGUUUGCAAACGUCCGACGGUGGUACAAACAGUCAUAUGUUCUUAGUGAACUCCGUGAAGGGAGCACCGGACCUAUCAUGAUAAUGGUUUGUAGAAAAUGGGACGUGACAAGUGUUAACGGCAGGUACAUGAGCACCGACUAUAUUGUCACUGACAUAAAGAUGGGGAUGGUUGUAAGCCCUUUGGUUCUUCCACACCUCCAUCGAUCCCCGCUAAAGACAAGGGGUGCUACCCAUACCGACACCAGUUAAGCGCGUUGAAGCGAUCGUAAGGCCUGCUUAUGCAGAUUCGGAUUCAGAAGAAACAGUUGACAGUGACCCACAUGAAAGUCAGUUGGCUGGUUAUGGGAUUGGGGAUGACGGCGGCAUGCGUUAGCUAAAGUUUGGUCUAUCUGUUAUCCAAUAAGAUAGGAAGGCGUGCGAGAGUUUAUGCUUUUUUCCUUUUUCUGUUUCAUGUUUUUUUUCCUUGGAAGACAUCUUUUUUCACUUCUUUUUGGCCGGCAAGUUUUGCCAAGUAAACAACUUAUGGUCAAUAGUUUAAUAAAGUUU